This 230-nucleotide ribosomal RNA is filed under the name uncultured microorganism. RNAcentral describes it as "partial 16S ribosomal RNA". It matches the Rfam family "Bacterial small subunit ribosomal RNA", at positions 524 to 753 of the family's 1533-position model. The record is from RNAcentral.
UACGGAGGGUGCGAGCGUUACCCGGAAUCACUGGGCGUAAAGGGCGUGUAGGCGGGAUGUUAAGUCUGGUUUUAAAGACUGCGGCUCAACCGCAGGAGUGGACUGGAUACUGACAUUCUGGACCUCUGGAGAGGGAACUGGAAUUCCUGGUGUAGCGGUGAAAUGCGUAGAUACCAGGAGGAACACCAAUGGCGAAGGCAGGUUCCUGGACAGAAGGUGACGCUGAGGCG